GUUGUAUAGUCAAGUAAUGAAGUGCACAUGGUGGAUGCCUUGGCAGUCAGAGGCGAUGAAAGACGUGACAGCCUGCGAAAAGCGUCGGGGAGGCGGCAAUAUCCUGUGAUCCGGCGAUAUCUGAAUGGGGAAACCCACUUGUCAUAAGACAGGUACCCCGCUAUAUUUUAUAGCGGGGGGCAAACCGGGAGAAGUGAAACAUCUCAGUAACCCGAGGAAAAGACAUCAAUAGAGAUUCCCCUAGUAGCGGCGAGCGAACGGGGAGGAGCCGACUGAUUAUAAUUUAGAGGAAUGACUUGGAAAGGUCAAUCGUAGAGGGUGAUAAUCCCGUACUCGAAAGGUUAUAAGAAGCAUAUUAAGUAGGGCGGAACACGAGAAAUUCUGUCUGAAGAUGGGGGGACCAUCCUCCAAGGCUAAAUACUCCUGACUGACCGAUAGUGAACCAGUACCGUGAGGGAAAGGCGAAAAGAACCCCUGUGAGGGGAGUGAAAUAGAACCUGAAACCGUGUGCAUACAAGCAGUCGGAGCCCCGCUACUUAAUUAUUUUGGAAUGAUAAUGUUCUACGUAUAUAUACUCAAAGGUGAAGAUGGUUCGCAUUAUUGUGGAUACACAUCAGACCUAAGACAACGAUUUGCCGCCCAUAACAGUGGUGGAAACAAAUCGACCAGUUACCAGCAAUGGCAACUACUAUACUAUGAAGCAUAUCAAACAAAACAAUUAGCAAUGAGAAGAGAGCAAACGCUCAAACAUCAUGGCAAAGUUUACCAGUCCUUAAUCAAGCGACUGGCAGAAUAAUUAAGUAGCGGGGUGACGGCGUACCUUUUGUAUAAUGGGUCAGCGACUUAUAUUCUGUAGCAAGGUUAACCGAAUAGGGGAGCCGUAGGGAAACCGAGUCUUAAUAGGGCGUCUAGUUGCAGGGUAUAGACCCGAAACCGAGUGAUCUAUCCAUGAGCAGGUUGAAAGUGACGUAACAGUUACCGGAGGACCGAACCCACUGUCGUUGAAAAGCCAGGGGAUGACUUGUGGAUAGGGGUGAAAGGCUAAUCAAACUCGGUGAUAGCUGGUUCUCCCCGAAAGCUAUUUAGGUAGCGCCUCGGACGAACACCAUUGGGGGUAGAGCACUGUUUCGGCUAGGGGGUCAUCCCGACUUACCAAACCGAUGCAAACUCCGAAUACCGAUGAGUGAUAUCCGGGAGACAGACGGCGGGUGCUAACGUCCGUCGUCAAGAGGGAAACAACCCAGACCGCCAGCUAAGGCCCCAAAUUCCUAGUUAAGUGGGAAACGAUGUGGGAAGGCACAGACAGCUAGGAGGUUGGCUUAGAAGCAGCCACCCUUUAAAGAAAGCGUAAUAGCUCACUAGUCGAGUCGGCCUGCGCGGAAGAUGUAACGGGGCUCAAACUAGGAGCCGAAGCUGCGGAUUUAAUUGUUUCAAUUAAGUGGUAGGGGAGCAUUGUGUAAGCCUGUGAAGGUGUGUUGUAAAGCAUGCUGGAGGUAUCACAAGAGCGAAUGCUGACGUGAGUAACGACAAUGCGAGUGAAAAGCUCGCACGCCGGAAGACCAAGGGUUCCAGUCCAACGUUAAUCGGGGCUGGGUGAGUCGACCCCUAAGGCGAGGCCGAAAGGCGUAGUCGAUGGGAAAUCGGUUAAUAUUCCGAUACUUGUUUAUGAUGCGAUGGAGGGACGGAGAAGGUUAUGCCAGCUUGGCGAUGGUUGUCCAAGUGGAAGGAUGUAGUUAGGUUUAGUAGGCAAAUCCGCUAGACUAUUAAUGAGAUCUGAUAGCAAGCUGUACUUGUACAGCGAAGUGGCAAAUACCCUGCUUCCAGGAAAAGCUUCUAAGCGAUAGUCAUAAACAAAUCGUACCCGAAACCGACACAGGUGGUCAGGUAGAGAAUACCAAGGCGCUUGAGAGAACUCUGCUGAAGGAACUAGGCAAAAUGGUACCGUAACUUCGGGAGAAGGUACGCUGCCGAUGGUGAGUAGUCACGCACUACAAAGCUAUUGGCAGUCGCAGAUACCAGGCCGCUGCAACUGUUUAUUAAAAACACAGCACUCUGCAAACACGAAAGUGGACGUAUAGGGUGUGAUGCCUGCCCGGUGCUGGAAGGUUAAUUGAUGGGGUCAGCCGCAAGGCGAAGCUCUUGAUCGAAGCCCCAGUAAACGGCGGCCGUAACUAUAACGGUCCUAAGGUAGCGAAAUUCCUUGUCGGGUAAGUUCCGACCUGCACGAAUGGCAUAAUGAUGGCGGCGCUGUCUCCAGCAGAGACUCAGUGAAAUCGAAAUCGCAGUGAAGAUGCUGUGUACCCGCGGCUAGACGGAAAGACCCCGUGAACCUUUACUACAGCUUUACAUUGAACUUUGACCUUACCUGUGUAGGAUAGGUGGGAGGCUUUGAAGCAGGCACGCCAGUGUCUGUGGAGCCAUCCUUGAAAUACCACCCUGGUAAUGUUGGGGUUCUAACUCAAGCUUAACAGAGCUGAGGACAAUGUAUGGUGGGUAGUUUGACUGGGGCGGUCUCCUCCUAAAGAGUAACGGAGGAGUACGAAGGUGCGCUCAGAACGGUCGGAAAUCGUUCGAAGAGUAUAAAGGCAAAAGCGCGCUUAACUGCGAGACCCACAAGUCGAGCAGAUACGAAAGUAGGUCUUAGUGAUCCGGUGGUUCUGUAUGGAAGGGCCAUCGCUCAACGGAUAAAAGGUACUCUGGGGAUAACAGGCUGAUACCGCCCAAGAGUUCAUAUCGACGGCGGUGUUUGGCACCUCGAUGUCGGCUCAUCUCAUCCUGGGGCUGAAGCAGGUCCCAAGGGUAUGGCUGUUCGCCAUUUAAAGAGGUACGCGAGCUGGGUUUAGAACGUCGUGAGACAGUUCGGUCCCUAUCUACCGUGGGCGUUGGAAAUUUGAGAGGAUCUGCUCCUAGUACGAGAGGACCAGAGUGGACGAACCUCUGGUGUUUCGGUUGUCACGCCAGUGGCAUUGCCGAGUAGCUAUGUUCGGAUGGGAUAACCGCUGAAAGCAUCUAAGCGGGAAGCCCACCUUAAGAUUAGAUUUCCCUAAAGAGCCGUUGUAGACUACGACGUUGAUAGGUUGGGUGUGGAAGCAUAGUGAUAUGUGUAGCUAACCAAUACUAAUUGCUCGUUUGGCUUGACUAUACAACGCCUAA
This 3153-nucleotide ribosomal RNA is filed under the name Faucicola osloensis. RNAcentral's name for it is "bacterial LSU rRNA". It matches the Rfam family "Bacterial large subunit ribosomal RNA". The record is from RNAcentral. Lineage: Bacteria; Pseudomonadati; Pseudomonadota; Gammaproteobacteria; Moraxellales; Moraxellaceae.